This is a non-coding RNA of Marasmius fiardii PR-910, 94 nucleotides long. NCBI's taxonomy places the organism in Eukaryota, Fungi, Basidiomycota, Agaricomycetes, Agaricales, Marasmiaceae. The record is from the annotation of a GenBank genome assembly.
UCCCUGGUAGUAUAUCGGUUAGUACACGCGCCUGUCAAAUACGAGGCUUCUAUCUGAACCGCGCGAAAGCUGGGUUCGACUCCCAGCCAGGGAG